Salvia splendens (bonfire salvia) is the source of this 778-nucleotide long non-coding RNA. RefSeq lists it as uncharacterized. The record is from RefSeq and is a predicted model, not a curated record. The transcript has 4 exons. Lineage: Eukaryota; Viridiplantae; Streptophyta; Magnoliopsida; Lamiales; Lamiaceae.
UCAAUUCUACGGGUCAAAAAUGAAAAACACGCGGAUCCUAUUGCGGGUCAUAACAAAAAACGGGUCACUCUGAUUUUCUCUCAACUCUCUCUCCAUCUUUCUUCUGCGACGACUGCGCCCUAAUCUGGAGAUUUGAUUUCAACAGCCGAUCAUCAGAACAAUCAUGUUAGGAGAUGUGCUAUGGUAGUGGAAAAGAAUGGAAGAGUGAGAAGACUGCCAUGUGUAGCAGAACAAUCAUGUUCCAGGCCAUCAUUUAGAAAAGUGCUCUGGUAGUUUAGGAGAUGAGUUUGGGCCAUGGUGAUAGAAUUGAAGAUCUCUAGCAUUAUUUUGGGAGACAUCUAGUUAUGGGUAUUUUGACAAGGCACGAGUUCAGGCCAGAACACGCCCUGGCUUUGCAUCCGCUAAGGAAGCUCGUUGGAAGAAACUGAAGUGGUUGGAGCUAACUAUUUCCCCCUGAGCAGAAAGCUGCAAGAAAUUUUCAUCAAUCCACAUACACUAGUUUACGUUAGACUUUAUCAUCACCUGCACAGAACUCUAUGAAGUUACCAAGCCUCCCCAGCUCAUCUUGGAAACUGUUGGAUUGUCUAUUUAAUGUUGCUGGUGAUGGCUAUCCUGCUUAGCGUGGGUCGUAUCAAUGACUUCCUGAUAAGUCAUAUUCUAGGCCUUGGUUACGGGUUAGUAUGAUGUGCUUAAUUGAUUAUAUUUGCAAAACAGUUGUUUAAAGUGUGCAGGUUAAGCAUUCUAGCCAGUAGGGAAGUUUCGGAAUGUUCAGGUGAAG